Long non-coding RNA from Heterocephalus glaber (naked mole-rat), 728 nucleotides. Lineage: Eukaryota; Metazoa; Chordata; Mammalia; Rodentia; Bathyergidae. The record is from Ensembl.
AUUUGCUUCCUGCAGUUUCUCUCUAGGGGACCUCUAGGAGAAGGGCAGAACUCAGACAGCCAGACACUGCGGUCCUGAGGUGGGACAAGAGGAAUAAAGAUACAACAAGCUUGGGCAACUCUCUUUCACCUGCAAAUUGGCUCUUUUCGCCUGUGAAUGGCACUUAUCCUCAAGGAAGCAGCACUGUAGUGGACAGUGGCUCUCAACUUCAAACCCAGUGUUCCCUCCCCAAGAACAGCCAGGACCCCUCCUGAAGUGGAGUCUUGUGACCUUCUCGAGGUAGGUAGAGAAUUGCGCAGGCCCAGUUCUUACCCAGAGGAGCGGGAACACGUGCGAAGCUGUUUCACUGUCUCCACGGUGUGGGGAUGUGUUGAGGAGCUCAGCUUUACCUCACUGCGCACUCUGGAUUUCACCUGGUAACCACGAGCAGUCAGGCACUUUUAUUCCCAGUCUUAAUUACAGAUACCCACAGCAUUGAGCUACACGUCUCACGUCAGGCCAUGACAAGCAGUUGUGGGAAACAGUUAGUAGCAGCUGUAGGACUUGAGGAGGCAGACCUGGGCAAAGACAGAAAGCCCAUGGAGGGGUACAAAGUCACCACAGGUGGCCAGGUAGGAUGACAGCUGAUGGAGUCCGCCGUCACUUGUCGAACAGCACCUGAAUGGGGGAGUGAGGAUGAGGAAAAAGAAAGACACAGAAAUAGAGUCGGGAGGGCUCCCAGAGAGACC